RNAcentral lists this ribosomal RNA (105 nucleotides) under Actinomyces oris. RNAcentral describes it as "partial 16S ribosomal RNA". It matches the Rfam family "Bacterial small subunit ribosomal RNA", at positions 1 to 97 of the family's 1533-position model. The record is from RNAcentral. Lineage: Bacteria; Bacillati; Actinomycetota; Actinomycetes; Actinomycetales; Actinomycetaceae.
UUGUUUGGAGAGUUUGAUCCUGGCUCAGGACGAACGCUGGCGGCGUGCUUAACACAUGCAAGUCGAACGGUGAAGGGACCGGUUUUUGCUGGUUCUGGAUGAGUG